UACGUAGGUGGCAAGCGUUGUCCGGAUUUACUGGGCGUAAAGAGCGCGCAGGCGGUCGUUCAAGUCGCGUGUGAAAGCCCCCGGCUCAACUGGGGAGGGUCACGCGAUACUGAUCGACUGGAAGGCAGGAGAGGGUAGUGGAAUUCCCGGUGUAGUGGUGGAAUGCGUAGAUAUCGGGAGGAACACCAGUGGCGAAGGCGACUACCUGGCCUGUUCUUGACGCUGAGGCGCGAAAGCUAGGGGAGCAAACAGG
This 253-nucleotide ribosomal RNA is filed under the name uncultured bacterium. Its description in RNAcentral is "partial 16S ribosomal RNA". It matches the Rfam family "Bacterial small subunit ribosomal RNA", at positions 524 to 776 of the family's 1533-position model. The record is from RNAcentral.